Molecule: long non-coding RNA, 10658 nt
Filed under: Homo sapiens (human)
Lineage: Eukaryota; Metazoa; Chordata; Mammalia; Primates; Hominidae
Description: HSALNT0052370
Source: RNAcentral
GUGAUUUCUUAGGACUUUAAUAGUAUAGCUGAUGUUAGGUCAUUAAUGAGGGCAGAUUUAAAAUGGAAGCCUGAGAAUGUGAUUUUAAGUGUAUUUUUUCUCCUCUAUAUAAGAGUUGUAAAAUGGAAAUCUAUCAAUUACCUGCUUAAGAAUCUCUCGUAGCUUCCUUUUGCCUAGCAUAUAAAAUCUGAACUGAAUCUUUUAUUCAAUAACUGACAUCAAUGUUUUCUUCUUUUCUCAUUCUUCUUAAUACUUUUUCAGCUCAAGUCAGACUAUUUUCAAGUCUGGAUUUUUUUUUCAGCCCUACCUUUGUAUUGUCAUCCAUAUUGUCUGUCUGCCUGAACCUCUUUAUUUUUCUAUCAACCCCUAUUUUUCUCCAUCUUAAAGCUCUAAUUCGUAGCCCUGCUCUAGGAGGCCCUCCAUGAUUGAUACUAACUGUGGCUGUUGUUUGGUUCUUGGCUUGGUUGGUUUUUAUUACUCUGGGCCCCCUCUUCUAGCUCUUUUAUUAAUACCUCAGAGAAUAGUUUGCAAAAACUAUGGCAACUUUACUAAUAUUUAGCUUUCAUCAUGGACUUAAUGGCAAAUGAGUGACAAACUUGUCUCCCUUGACAGUAGGCAUGAUUUCUGCUGCCUAUUGAAUUUCAAUGCUAUUGUGUUCUAUUUAAAAUUACUAAAACUCUCAUUUAUCUAUGAAGCCCUUAGCCCCACAGAUCUGCCUCAUGUGCUCAGUUUGUCUGUUUUAUAGUGUCUGUGCUCCUCAGGAGUCUAGAUAUUUUGGCCUGUGAAAACUUUCUCCCCUAGGGGUUUUGAUGACACCAUUUUAUGGUGAGGUGUCUCCUCUGGUAAGUUCUGAAUAUGGUGACACAUACAUUUAUUAAAUUAAUUUUUAAAAUUAGAAAUACAUAAACAUGUUAAAAAUCUCAACUGUUGUAUAGUGAAAUGCAAUCUUCCUUCCUCUUCUUCCUCCAGUCUCCUAGUUUCCCCGUCCAGAAGCAGUUACAGUUGUGUGCCACCUUCUAGAAAAAUUCACUGCAUAUACAAGAGAGGGGGAGAAAGCUAUGGAUUUUACUGGUUCACUUAAUAUAUUUGGAGCUUGUGUCCUAUCACUCAUAUUUUUAAGGACAUAUAGGAUUCCACUUUUUGAAUGUACCUUAAUUUCUUUAACCAGUUCUGUACUGAUGGGCAUUUAUCAUAUUAUCACUUUUCAUUCUUAUAAGCAGUACGUAUACAGUUUUGAAAAUGUAGAUGAUAUCUGUUGCAUAGACUACUAAAAAUAAAGUUGCUCAGCCAAAGGGAAGCACAUUUUAAAUUUUUAUGAAUUUGGGUAAAUUUCCCUUCAAUGAAGUUGCAUCAAUUUCCAUUCCCACCAAGAAUAUGUGACAGCUGUAUCUGGCAAACAUAUGUAUUUCCCUGGAACUUUGAUCUAUUUGAAAGAAGACUAGGAACACAUUUACAGUACUGUUACCAACAUCUUCUUCACUUUUGAUUUUUCUGUAAUUCUCCCUGCCAAAAUUUAACAGAACGCUGUCAUUUUCCUGACUCAUCGUCCUUUUAUUUCCACUUUGUAAAAAUGUCUGUGUUUGGUUUUAUGUUUUUAGGGGUGGCAUAGAAUCUUCCACCAGAACCCUGGAAGUGUAGGUCAGGAUGUUAGAAAUUCUUCUAAUAAAUAGUGUCCAGGAAACACUUCAUUAGAGUAAUUCUCUGGCACAGGGAGUCCUGGGUGGUGGCUCUUGUGACAAGCCCCUUUACCUAUGGUAUGUUGGAAAUUUAACCACAACCUUAGGGCAUGCAAUGAUUGUCUUUCCUUUAGGUGUUUAACUCAUAUAAUGUCUUAAAGAUAAAUGGCACCAGUAAUAUUUUAACAAUGUUCGGGUAUCCUUUGUUUCCAUAGUUACCUGGGUUUCUGUUAGCUUAAGACUUUAGAUGUGUAGCUUCAAACUCUGGGUUCUUCUUCAACUAGGUCAAGAGUUCACACAUUUUUCCACCCACUGGGCAGGCAAACCAAGUUGUAAUUGUUGCUUAUGAAGAGGAUCCUCAAAUGGUACAACACUCAAUUAGGUUAGAUUAAAUUCAGAGCAAUAAAAUAUUUCUGAGUAUGUUCUCAGAGAAACCCACAUCUUAGUUUUCCUUAUCUGAGAUCAUCUUUACCAGUUAAGAGGGCACACUUCAAAUAAUACAAACAUUCUUUAUAAAUUCAUUAUUUCCUAAAUCCCUUCCUAGUUUCAGUUUUGAUGAGCUCUUUUCAUAACUCUAGGUACUUUAGAUAUGCUUCUCUCAGCCUCGAUUUGGCUUUUAGGCUAAAGGGUUUUCCUAAUCACAGCAAGUGGGUCAAAAAUUAGGAUAGGCUUCCCAUGAAAGACUAAGUACAAUAAUUGAACAAAAGGGGUGAAAGUUGAUUAAAGUGAUGCGAGGAGUAAAUGGAUUCACUUUUACAGGAUCUUCUGAAAUCUGAGAUAAAGGACUGACUCCUUGGCUAAUCUCAGUGCAAUUACCUACUCAUGGAGAUCAAUACUUUUUUACUAUUAAAAAAUAGUGAAAAUUUUUAAGAUUGGUUAAGGAAGAGUAAUGUGUUAUUAGGGGAGGCAAGGAAAACUUAGAUCUAAUUUAGAUUUCUAUGAAAACAGUGGGCAUCAAUAGGAGAACAUAAAAAAGAGACGUGAGUAUUAGGAAAAUACCAAAAGGUUUGGUUAGAAACAAAUCCUCUUGUGAUAGGAGAUAAGACUGAAGACCAAACAGAAAUUAUAACUGCAUAGAUCUUGGUUUUAUUCAUUCAUUUGCUCAUUCAGCCUGUUCACUGGCUCCAACAUAGCUCUUGAUUCUAUCCCAUGUGACAUAUUCAUUGACCAACCAUGUGUUUUGGACAGAUCAGCAGCUAGAGAUCCAAAAACGACUGGUUAGAUGGAAUGUCUUAGGAAAUAGUGUCAUCAGUGGUGUACAAAAUGGUAUUAAACUUUCCCUGGAUGAUGGAUUAAAGAGAGAACAAAUUAAAGGCAUAGAUAUAGCCAUCUGCUAAUCAGGGUUUCACAAGGCAUCUGUACCUUAGGCCAUUCCUUUUGGGAUUUCCACUUGCAAAAAAUAUAGUGAAAUAAAACUUAAACUGAAUAGAAGAAAGAAUUUCUUAGACUCAUUCACAUUCAAUCAAUGUUUACUGAGUGCCUAAUAUGUGCCAAAUAUUAUACUAAAAUGCCGAGGAUACAGCAGAGGGACAAAAAUUCCCUGCAUUUGUGGUGCUUACAUUUUACUGAUACAGUUAAUGAAGAUCAUAAAAAUUUUAAACACUGGAGCAGUGAAGUGAGAUUAGGAAUCCCUGUGCCUUUAAAGAUUGAGAGACUAUCAUUUCCUUGGAAAGAAUUAUGUAUUAUCUUGCAUGUAUGUGUGAAGGCAAAUGAGUAAAGGAAAUGCUUCUUCAGCAACCUCUUUCAAUUCUCUAAAGUUAUUUUCAUUACCUAAAUAUUAAAGAGUGAGAAGGACUUGAGGGGAAAAAAAAUAAAGCUUUUUUUUUGUUGUUUUUUUGAGACAGGGUCUCACACUGUCACCAAGGCUGGAGUGCAGUGGUGCAAUCUCAGCUCACUGCAGCCUUGAUGUCCUGGGCUCAAUCAAUCCUCCCUCCUCAGCCUCCAGAGUAGCUGGGACCACAGGCAUGCGCCACCGUGCCUAGUUAAUUAUAAAACUUUUUUUAGAGAUGGAGUUUUGCUGUGUUUCCUAGGCUGGUCUCAAAUUCCUGUGCUCAAGUGAUAUGCCCACCUCAGGCUCCCAAAGUGCUGGGAUGACAGGCGCGAGCCACUGCACCUGGCCAAAAUAAAGCUUGACCUGAGUUGAUAUGAGGGUGAUGAGACUGAGUAAAAAGCCCAUAGGAUUCCAGCCUGUGUUCAUAAGAAGAAGCAUUUUAAUGGAGAGACUUUUUGUGAUGCGUGUACAGAGGACAUUAUUAGUGAAAUAACAGCAAACUUGCUAUUAAUGAGAUCUGCUCAAAAUCUCUAUGAGGUAGUGAAUGCCCCAUCAUGAAGAUUUUCAUGCAGAAUUGGGAUGACCUCUGUUCUUCAGGUAGGAACUUGGAUUAGAUAUGUCUAGGAUUUCUUCCAGUUGAAGUUCCUGUGAUUCUACAAUAGGGUAGUCUGAGGAUCAAGAUACAAAUUUCUUCUCUUAUCUUAAAAUGGACUUAAUUUGCGUUUAGAUAAAUUGCAAUGUUCUGGCUAGAUCCAAAUUUCUAAAAUGAGGAAUAUUAAAAGUCUAACCAUUACAACUCUACUGGCCAGUGUGAUUCAUGCAUCAUUUUCAGAGAAGAGAAUAGCUGCUUAGAUACUGAAAGGUACAAAAUGAUAGUAUUUUCUCUUGUUUAGAGGUACAGAAUCCACUUUAUUUUUAGAUCUUGACAUUCUAAAUACUUAUAUCUCUUCAAGAUAAAAAAAGAACAUUGUUUAUUUUAGUCAGUAUCUUUCCCUUUCUCAUUUGUUUAUACAUUCUUAAAAUAACCAUAUAGUUCUCAUUUAUCAAACUUCCCUAUUGCAUGUACAUUCUUUCUUCCUUCGUUAGGAUUUGGUAAGAGUGCUAUGAAUGUGUUAGAAUGGUGUAAAUGAUACUUGCUGUGUAUGAUUUUUUCCCCCUCCCCAAGCCUGCCAGGGGAGCGAGGUGUUAAAUCUCAUGAGAUUCUUUUACCAAGUCCAAGUUUUAAAUAAAUGAAACUUGUACAGACUCCAACAUACCAUCUUGAGAUAACCUCAGGCCCUGAAGUGUAUCGACAAGCAGAAUGAUCUCAGCCAAGUUGUAAAACUGUCUUUGAAAAGAAUAGCUGGAUGAAAAACAUUAGCAGCAACUGAAUCAAGAGAAAACGUGACUUCAAACUGAAAGGCACUCUCAUGGUAAAUACAUAGUAAAACCAUGUUCUGCAACUUCAUAUUUUCGUAAUGCUUUAAGCUACCCAAGGAGCCCAUGCAGAUAUGCAAAGCUACUCAUUGAGAAGCUCAGCUUAUCCCUACAUAUGCCAUCACCAGUUUUUCACUUAACGUUUUCUCCUCAACCCCUUUCUAUUUGGCUUCCAUUCUACUACUCACCAACCACCUUCAGUUUGCAAAAUCCUAUGCAGAUCUUACCUUAACUUUUCAGCAUCAUUCAGUAAGGUUAAAAACUUUUCCUUCUAGAUGGUUUUGGUGGCACCAGAGUCUUCUUGUUUUCUUCUUUCUUUUUUAGCUGCACUUUCUCAGUAGUAUUUGCUGGCUCUCCUUCCUUUACUCCAACUCUUACUGUUGUAGUUUCACUGAUCUUGGAUUGAGUUCCUCCCUUUGUUUUCCUAUUUAUACUCUCUGACUAAGGUUCAAAAUUGUCUUUAUCUGUUGUAAAAUCUGUGUUUCAAGACUAGAACUUCUCCUCUAAAUCCCAUCUAUCUGAUGACUGAUAGAUUUCAGACUGAACAUGCUUAGAAUAAAAUGCUUAGCCAUGGCUGUUCCCUGCUCCCUGGCCACAGUUGCCAUACACCUUCAUCCUUCCUCAGUUUUCUCAUGGUAAAUGUUACCAUCAUCCACUCAGUUAAUAAUACCUGAAACCAGGGAAAUGGUCCUGAAAUUAGUCCUUUUUUAAAUAUCACCUUCACAUGUAGCCAAUCAGCAAUUCCUACAAUUUAUAUUCCAGAAUAUAUGUCAAGUCCAUCUACUUUUUCCACCUCCACCGCUGUCACCUAGCUCAAGCCACCAUCAUCCUUCACCUAUUCUAUUGCAGUAGCCUCCUAGAAGGUCUCCUAGCUUCCUUUAUUAGCCCUGUACAAGCCAUUCUCUGCAUGGCAGCAGAAUAAUCUUUUAAAAACUGAAAUCAUACCAAUUACUCCUUACCCAAAAGUAUUGAAGGGUUCCUGUUGCAUGUUGAACAAAAUCUACACUCCUUAUCAUGGCCUAUGGAGUGCUUCAUGUUCCCAACCUUGGCAAUGUUUUUUAACAUGCUACCAGUUCUUUCUGUUUCUUACUAAGUCCAGCUCACAUUGACCUAACACACUAACCUCUUUCCUGUCUCAGGCCCUUUGCCCUUGCUGUUACCUCUCUUAGAACAUCCUUUGUUGCUUUGCAUAGCCCAUUCCUCCUCAUUCUUCAUUUCUCAGCUUAAAUGCCACUUCAUCAGAGACGCCUUUUUCAAAAACUUUACCUAAGUUUUUAUUUGUUUUUCUUUUUUCCUGAGCUGAUAGGAAGACAACUCUGUUAUCUUUAGGAUUUCAGAUGCUUUUAGAAUCAAACCUGGAAAGGAUACAAAAAGCAGAAGCAAAACCAACAUUUGGGAGAAGAACAGAUUAAGACAGUAGCUUAUAUUGAAACAUCACUUCUCAUUUGCUGUUUGGACAAUGGUGAUGGAACUGCUGCUUUAUUGCCCACGGAGAAGCGAAGUGAAGAGUCUAAAGUGGGUCUUGCAGUUACACUGGACAAAAGAAGUUUGAAACUGAGGCUUGGUCCUGAAGAAAACAUAGAGAAGCCUGACAGAUUAUAUAUAUUCACAGCUUUGACUUAAAGGUUGCUGGUUGACCAAUAAGUAAUACAAGAAGAAAUGGUCUUUUCUGGAAUUGUCCUUCUUUCCAGGUAUCAAUGGUGAGCAGAAGAGGAGCAGGGAAUGAUGAAAGACCACACAUUCUCCAAAAGUCACUAAGCACUGUCUGCAGAUGGAACAUUCAUAUUUUCACAUAGUAUAAGUCAUAUGAUCUUUGAUCCUCCAUGUAUUGCUAUCCAGCCAUUUACUUUAGAAUGUCAGCCUUUAUACUGAUAUCACACACAUGUUGUAAAAUGUAGUGAAGAUAAACGGGUGAAGUUAAACUUACAAUGCUUUUGCUGUUAUCCAUAAAAAUGCAAUAGGUAUUGCAUAGAAUUAGUUACAAGCACAAAACUGUGAUACCCUAUAUGCCCCUGUUACAAGAAAGUUGUCAUUUUACAUUAUGGGUAUUUAUUCGAUAUUUUCAUAGUUUAAUUACUAACAAAGCAUUAAUAAUGCCAGAUUGUGCUGACAAACAUUGCAGUCUCUGAAUAGGAGAAAGAAUAUAUUCUUUGCACCAUUAUACAAUGAUUUAGAACUUUAAUAGUGUGCUGGGGAAAAAACAUGUAUCUGUAACCUGAAAUAGUUGUUUUACCUCCCUGAGUACAAAAUAUGUCACACAUUCUCUCCUAAAUGUAUUCUCUAUUUUUACCAGUCAUUUUGUUGCUAAAAUGUAAGAUAUGGGGAUGGGAUGUGGGUGAUUGUCUCCGUCCUUUUGGGCUUCUAUAACUAAAAUACCUUAGACUGGGUAAUUUAUAAACAACAGGAAUUUAUUUCUCACAGUUCUGGGGGCUGGAAAGUCCAAGAUCAAGGCUGUGGUGGGGUUUGGCUGGCGAGGGCUCCAUCCUUCUUGCUAUAUCUUCACAUGGUGGAAGGAGCAAACAAACUCCCCCAGCCCUCUUUUACAAGGGCACUAAUAUUAUUUGUGAGGGCUCCACUCUCAUGACUUAAUCACCUCCCCAAAGACCCUACUUCUUAAUACUAACACAUUGGGGAUUAAUCUUCAACAUAUGAAUUUUGGAGGAACACAAACAUUCAGACCAUAGCAAUGUUUAUUGGGGUGAAUGCUCAUUUAACUUUUCCCAGAACAAUCCCUGUUAAGUCUGCUAACCUCCUGUAGUUAAUGAUAAAAUUUCCUUCAUUUUCCGAAGUGUUCUUGUUUGGAUUAUAAAUUAUGUAAUUACCCUAAUGACAAUUAACUAGACAUUUUUUUUCUUACUGUAUAGCACCAGUAUGGGCAAUUGCAGUGGCUUUCAAACUUGACUACAACUCAGGGAGAAAUACAUUUUUCAUCAUAACGUAGUACACACACACACACACACACACACACACACACACGCACACACACACACACAUACACUAGAUAAAGCAAAAGCUUUAGGAAAUGGUACUUGGAUAUUUUCAAAUAUAUUUUAGUCUGUUUUUUAAUUAAAAAUCUCUAGUCAUGAUACAUUAAAUUGACUUAUUGACCCACAGCUUGAAAAAACACCAAUAUUUUGGAUGUGUUUUAAGGUCAUAGAACACGCCUUCUGAUUUUUUUCCUUCCCUAGGUAAUCCUAUGCAAGUUGCCAAUCUUCUCUAAACAACACUCUUCUUCAUCUAUAAAGUAAAUAUUAAUACCUACCUGAAGGUGGCAGAGAGAGUUAACUGAGAUAAUUUGGUUAAUGAGCCUGAAAUCUAGUCAACACUUACUAAAGGUAAUUUCUUCUCCUCUCUUCCGCUUCUAAACCAACAGGACACAGCUGAAGUUCACAGGUUUGUAAAAGUGAAAAAAUAUUUUUCUUAACCCCCUGACCUCUAAAGUUUGGUCAGAGUGUUUAGCCACUGAUAAAACAUCUUUAAGCACUGUUACUUCUAUGUUCAACUAAAAGAGUCACUUUUCAGUAAUUUCCGGUCAAGCCCAUCACAAUAGCACUUGCAGCUUCUCAAAAGAAAAGAAAGAAAGAGAGAGAAAGAAAGGAAGAAAGAGAAUUGAAGGAGGAAAGAAGGAAAAAAAUCAUGAUGAAGAUUUUAAAACAUGUCUUAUUGAGGGAUGGGAUGGUGAGGAAGUUGAUUAUAGUGAUGGAUGUGACAGACAGGGCCCGUACUUCUGUUUCUGUUCUCAAACUAACAGUUUUCACACAUAACCGUUUUCACACAUAACACAUUAGUAGAAUUUCUUUUGAAUAUUUGCCUUGGAAAUAAAACAAUAAUAAUAUAGCAUUUAUUAUAUUUAUUAUAUAUAGAGUGUGUGUGUGUGUGUGUCUGUGUGUGUGUGUAUCCCACAUGUCCACAUGAGAAAUAAUGAAAGAAGAUGGAGCCCAAGUAAGAGAGUCCUGAUGCCCCAUAAUGCAGAGAGACAAAGAAGUGAUGAAAUCAAGUACUCUACCUCUGGGCCGCCAGAAUCCAGGCCUGGUUCCAGAGUCCUCUGGUUUUCACCGUGUUGGGGUGGGGCCUCCCCGGGUGCACAGCUUUUCUGCACUGGUUGGCAUCUACUGAACCUUAGGUGAUCACAGCAGUGGUAAAGACAAGCCAGCUUCCGUCUUUCCAUAGUUUGUUCCCCUGUACUUCAGGAGGGAGGGGAGCCCCUCUAUGGAAUGCAAUACACACUAGGCAUCCUAUCACUAUGUAAGAACUCAUCUUGCUCCCUCAUUUCACAUUACAUCUUUGACUGUCUUGCUCAGUUGUUUCACCUUGGCUAGUUUUUACUCUUUGGCGAGUACUCUCACAACUCUCUUGUAGGCAGGAGCCCAUUUUCUUUUUCUGAGUACUCUGGACUCCUUGCAUGGUGCUUCCUGGGCAAGGGGUGCUCAACAAAUUGUGCUGAUAAUUAAGUCAUUCACUCAAAAUAUAUUUAUUAAGCACCUAGUGACCAAGACAGAAAAAAGUUACUAUUGACCUUCAAAUCACCAAAUCUAAUGAUCAUUCCUUACUGCUCAUCUUCCUCCACCAUUGCUACCUUAGAGGCCUCCCGUGCCUGCCUCCAUUUCCCAGACUUACUGCUUGAUUCUCCCUGGCAAGCUUUCCCUUCACCAUUUUUUUUUCAGCACUUGUAAGGAACUGAAUCUGUCCCCAAUAGUACACAGUUUGAGUUAGAGCCAGGACUAGAACUCAGGCCUGCAUAUAAUCAAAGAUCAGAAAACGGCCAAAUCUUGGUGUUUCUAUUCACAGGGAGGAAACCCAGAUGGGCCUACUCACAAUACAUGCUUCCAAAUGAAAGAACGUUUUUCCCCCUAAGGACAUUGUUAGGACACUGUCUAGCUAGAAGAUAUUCAGAGAAAAUUCACUCCUUUACCUGCCCUAGGGAAAUGGGAAAAUUCAAUGUUUGAGCCAUUUACCCAAAAGAGUAAUCCAUGCUGGAAAUUUUGCUGAAAGUAUUCUUUUAAAAGGCCCUUCUGUCUUUAUUAUGACGAUAAGACUGCUGAGUCUGCCCAAGCAUAUGAGGUUGCAAAGAAUAUUUCUUUUUAUUCAGACCUUGUAUUCUCUACAUGAUGAAAGGAUUCUUGGCACAUAGUUGGCAAUUACUAUCUAGGUUUUCUGCAUAACAUAGGUUUUUUAAACUAAGCUUUUAACUCAAUAGACAUCAGGCUCCAAUGAAAAUACAUGUGGCCUAACACGAGCAGAAAUAAACACAAUUCUAAUCAACUUAACUGUUGACAAAAGCAUGUGGUUUCAUUGCUUGCGGCCAAAGUUGUAAGAGUGGACUCUGAUUUCUUGCAGGAACACCCCUCAUUUAUGUGUGCAAAUAGGGUAAUUAAGUGUCCAAUUACCAGAUUUGCAUUGGCAAAUGGGGGCUUUGUGUGGGUAAAAUUCUCCAUGGUUUGGGACCAGCUGAAACUUAGGUCUUUUCUUUUUGGAUCAAUCCCCCAACAAUAACACGGGCAUGAUGAAGUUCCCUUCUUGUCCUGAUCUGAAGCCAUGGCUGAAGACUUCCCUUAUUUUGGUAAUUCAGUGAAGCGGAGAGCCAAAGUUAGGAUCUGGGGCCUUUUCUUCCUUACUGUCUACUCUGAAAAAUAAUUAAGCAUUUCAAGUAUUUUCAGACUGACUUUUUUUUUUUCCUGCUGGCUCUGUAGAAUUGAUUACUAAGGUGAAAUACUUGUAAAUAUUCCUUUUAAAAAUUUAACCAUAUGGAAGCAUUAAGUUGAAAGACACUUCAUAAAACAACUUUAUUCUUUUCU